ACGGGUGAGUAACACGUGAGCAACCUGCCCCUGACUCUGGGAUAAGCGCUGGAAACGGCGUCUAAUACUGGAUACGAACAAGAAUCGCAUGGUUACUUGUUGGAAAGAUUUUUUGGUUGGGGAUGGGCUCGCGGCCUAUCAGCUUGUUGGUGAGGUAAUGGCUCACCAAGGCGUCGACGGGUAGCCGGCCUGAGAGGGUGACCGGCCACACUGGGACUGAGACACGGCCCAGACUCCUACGGGAGGCAGCAGUGGGGAAUAUUGCACAAUGGGCGGAAGCCUGAUGCAGCAACGCCGCGUGAGGGAUGACGGCCUUCGGGUUGUAAACCUCUUUUAGCAGGGAAGAAGCGAGAGUGACGGUACCUGCAGAAAAAGCGCCGGCUAACUACGUGCCAGCAGCCGCGGUAAUACGUAGGGCGCAAGCGUUAUCCGGAAUUAUUGGGCGUAAAGAGCUCGUAGGCGGUUUGUCGCGUCUGCUGUGAAAUCCCGAGGCUCAACCUCGGGCCUGCAGUGGGUACGGGCAGACUAGAGUGCGGUAGGGGAGAUUGGAAUUCCUGGUGUAGCGGUGGAAUGCGCAGAUAUCAGGAGGAACACCGAUGGCGAAGGCAGAUCUCUGGGCCGUAACUGACGCUA
RNAcentral lists this ribosomal RNA (633 nucleotides) under Microbacterium ginsengiterrae. RNAcentral's name for it is "bacterial SSU rRNA". It matches the Rfam family "Bacterial small subunit ribosomal RNA", at positions 102 to 748 of the family's 1533-position model. The record is from RNAcentral. Lineage: Bacteria; Bacillati; Actinomycetota; Actinomycetes; Micrococcales; Microbacteriaceae.